RNAcentral lists this ribosomal RNA (494 nucleotides) under Parnassius mnemosyne parvisi. RNAcentral's name for it is "partial 16S ribosomal RNA". The record is from RNAcentral. Lineage: Eukaryota; Metazoa; Arthropoda; Insecta; Lepidoptera; Papilionidae.
UUUUUGAAUUAAUAAUUUAAAGUCUAAUCUGCCCACUGAUAAUAAAUUAAAGGGCUGCAGUAUAUUGACUGUACAAAGGUAGCAUAAUCAAUAGUCUCUUAAUUGGUGACUUGUAUGAAAGAUUUGAUGAGAUAUAAACUGUCUCUUUAUAAUUUUUAGAAUUUAAUUUUUUAGUUAAAAAGCUAAAAUAUAUUUAAAAGACGAGAAGACCCUAUAGAGUUUAAUAUUUAAUAUAUAUAUAUAUUAAAUAUUUUUUAUAAAAUUUAAAAUUUUAAUAUUAAUAAAUAUUUUGUUGGGGUGACAGAAAAAUUAAAAUAACUUUUUUUAUAAUUUUACAUUAAUAAAUGGUUAAAUGAUCCGUAAUUUACGAUUACAAGAAAAAAUUACCUUAGGGAUAACAGCGUAAUUUUUUUUUUUAGUUCAAAUAAGAAAAAAAGUUUGCGACCUCGAUGUUGGAUUAAGAUAAAAUUUAAAUGCAAAAGUUUAAAAUUUUU